UUAAAUUGAAGAGUUUGAUCAUGGCUCAGAUUGAACGCUGGCGGCAGGCCUAACACAUGCAAGUCGAACGGAAACAGGAAGCAGCUUGC
Molecule: ribosomal RNA, 89 nt
Filed under: Salmonella enterica subsp. enterica serovar Virchow
Lineage: Bacteria; Pseudomonadati; Pseudomonadota; Gammaproteobacteria; Enterobacterales; Enterobacteriaceae
Description: partial 16S ribosomal RNA
Rfam family: Bacterial small subunit ribosomal RNA
Source: RNAcentral